Molecule: non-coding RNA, 205 nt
Filed under: Clostridium homopropionicum
Lineage: Bacteria; Bacillati; Bacillota; Clostridia; Eubacteriales; Clostridiaceae
Description: T-box sequence
Rfam family: T-box leader
About the family: Uncharged tRNA acts as the effector for transcription antitermination of genes in the T-box leader family. T-boxes are found upstream of many aminoacyl-tRNA synthetase genes and some amino acid biosynthetic genes usually in Gram-positive bacteria.
Source: RNAcentral
GUGAAAGCUAUGAAGGGUAGUAGUAAAUAAAAUUUUAUUUUCAGAGAGUAGGCGGUUGGUGAAAGCCUAUAGUAAAGUUUAUUGAAUCCGACCUAAAGCUGCAUAGGGGUAAAAACCUAUGCCGGAAUUAUCCGUUAUAAUAAUGAGGCUGGUAAAACAGUAAAUUAAGGUGGUACCACGUGGAUAUUAGAUUCUCGUCCUUGAC